RNAcentral lists this ribosomal RNA (242 nucleotides) under Clostridioides difficile. RNAcentral describes it as "partial 16S ribosomal RNA". It matches the Rfam family "Bacterial small subunit ribosomal RNA", at positions 1200 to 1441 of the family's 1533-position model. Lineage: Bacteria; Bacillati; Bacillota; Clostridia; Peptostreptococcales; Peptostreptococcaceae. The record is from RNAcentral.
CCUUAUGCUUAGGGCUACACACGUGCUACAAUGGGUAGUACAGAGGGUUGCCAAGCCGUAAGGUGGAGCUAAUCCCUUAAAGCUACUCUCAGUUCGGAUUGUAGGCUGAAACUCGCCUACAUGAAGCUGGAGUUACUAGUAAUCGCAGAUCAGAAUGCUGCGGUGAAUGCGUUCCCGGGUCUUGUACACACCGCCCGUCACACCACGGGAGUUGGAGACGCCCGAAGCCGAUUAUCUAACCU